UACGUAGGGUGCAAGCGUUGUCCGGAAUUAUUGGGCGUAAAGAGCUCGUAGGCGGUUUGUCGCGUCGAAUGUGAAAACCCGGGGCUCAACCCCGGGCCUGCAUUCGAUACGGGCAGACUAGAGUUCGGUAGGGGAGUCUGGAAUUCCUGGUGUAGCGGUGAAAUGCGCAGAUAUCAGGAGGAACACCGGUGGCGAAGGCGGCAUCCUGGGUCUCUACUGACGCUGAUGCACGAAAGCCAGGGUAGCGAACGGG
Molecule: ribosomal RNA, 253 nt
Filed under: uncultured bacterium
Lineage: Bacteria
Description: partial 16S ribosomal RNA
Rfam family: Bacterial small subunit ribosomal RNA
Source: RNAcentral